This 495-nucleotide ribosomal RNA is filed under the name uncultured bacterium. Its description in RNAcentral is "partial 16S ribosomal RNA". It matches the Rfam family "Bacterial small subunit ribosomal RNA", at positions 28 to 507 of the family's 1533-position model. The record is from RNAcentral.
GACGAACGCUGGCGGCGUGCCUAAUACAUGCAAGUAGAACGCUGAAGGAGGAGCUUGCUUCUCUGGAUGAGUUGCGAACGGGUGAGUAACGCGUAGGUAACCUGCCUGGUAGCGGGGGAUAACUAUUGGAAACGAUAGCUAAUACCGCAUAAGAGUAGAUGUUGCAUGACAUUUGCUUAAAAGGUGCAAUUGCAUCACUACCAGAUGGACCUGCGUUGUAUUAGCUAGUUGGUGGGGUAACGGCUUACCAAGGCGACGAUACAUAGCCGACCUGAGAGGGUGAUCGGCCACACUGGGACUGAGACACGGCCCAGACUCCUACGGGAGGCAGCAGUAGGGAAUCUUCGGCAAUGGACGGAAGUCUGACCGAGCAACGCCGCGUGAGUGAAGAAGGUUUUCGGAUCGUAAAGCUCAGUUGUAAGAGAAGAACGAGUGUGAGAGUGGAAAGUUCACACUGUGACGGUAUCUUACCAGAAAGGGACGGCUAACUACGUG